RNAcentral lists this ribosomal RNA (376 nucleotides) under uncultured organism. RNAcentral's name for it is "partial 16S ribosomal RNA". It matches the Rfam family "Bacterial small subunit ribosomal RNA", at positions 527 to 896 of the family's 1533-position model. The record is from RNAcentral.
GUAGGUGGCAAGCGUUGUCCGGAAUUAUUGGGCGUAAAGCGCGCGCAGGCGGUUCUUCAAGUCUGAUGUGAAAGCCCACGGCUCAGCCGUGGAGGGUCAUUGGAAACUGGAGAACUUGAGUACAGAAGAGGAAAGCGGAAUUCCACGUGUAGCGGUGAAAUGCGUAGAGAUGUGGAGGAACACCAGUGGCGAAGGCGGCUUUCUGGUCUGUAACUGACGCUGAGGCGCGAAAGCGUGGGGGAGCAAACAGGAUUAGAUACCCUGGUAGUCCACGCCGUAAACGAUGAGUGCUAAGUGUUAGGGGGUCUCCGCCCCCCCCUUAGUGCUGCAGCUAACGCAUUAAGCACUCCGCCUGGGGAGUACGGCCGCAAGGCUG